Molecule: ribosomal RNA, 340 nt
Filed under: uncultured bacterium
Lineage: Bacteria
Description: partial 16S ribosomal RNA
Rfam family: Bacterial small subunit ribosomal RNA
Source: RNAcentral
GACCAGACUCCUACGGGAGGCAGCAGUGGGGAAUAUUGCACAAUGGGGGGAACCCUGAUGCAGCGACGCCGCGUGAGUGAAGAAGUAUUUCGGUAUGUAAAGCUCUAUCAGCAGGGAAGAAAAACCGACCAUAGGGUCGCUAGACGGUACCUGAUUAAGAAGCCCCGGCUAACUACGUGCCAGCAGCCGCGGUAAUACGUAGGGGGCAAGCGUUAUCCGGAUUUACUGGGUGUAAAGGGAGCGUAGACGGCAGCGCAAGUCUGAAGUGAAAUACCGGGGCUCAACCCCGGGGCUGCAUUGGAAACUGGCAGGCUGGAGUGUCGGAGAGGCAGGCGGAAUU